RNAcentral lists this long non-coding RNA (272 nucleotides) under Elaeis guineensis (African oil palm). RNAcentral's name for it is "long non-coding RNA (EGUI_LNC023415)". The record is from RNAcentral. Lineage: Eukaryota; Viridiplantae; Streptophyta; Magnoliopsida; Arecales; Arecaceae.
CUGGGCAUCUUCUUCAGUAAAGGUUAUAGACUCUUCAGUCCUCUGCCGCUUGGGUGGUACGGUCGAUCCACUGGCUGCUCCCCAUCGGGGUCCUCCAGAGAUGGUGUGGACGAUCCCGAUUGGAGGUCGAUCCUCAGGCCAUUCCUUCCUUCCUUCAGGUCGGCAUCGGAUGAAUCUGUCGAGCCGACCUCAUCCGAUGAGCUUCUCGACCUGUCAGUUCAUCUCUUGAAAUCUUUGAUCCAGGAAGUACUCUCGACUGCGAGCCUCGAGGG